RNAcentral lists this ribosomal RNA (636 nucleotides) under uncultured Methanosarcina sp. RNAcentral describes it as "bacterial SSU rRNA". It matches the Rfam family "Archaeal small subunit ribosomal RNA", at positions 507 to 1142 of the family's 1478-position model. The record is from RNAcentral. Lineage: Archaea; Methanobacteriati; Methanobacteriota; Methanomicrobia; Methanosarcinales; Methanosarcinaceae.
UGCCUAAAGGAGCCGUAGCCGGUUUGGUCAGUCCUCCGGGAAAUCUGACGGCUCAACCGUUAGGCUUUCGGGGGAUACUGCCAGGCUUGGAACCGGGAGAGGUAAGAGGUAUUACAGGGGUAGGAGUGAAAUCUUGUAAUCCCUGUGGGACCACCUGUGGCGAAGGCGUCUUACCAGAUCGGGUUCGACGGUGAGGGACGAAAGCUGGGGGCACGAACCGGAUUAGAUACCCGGGUAGUCCCAGCCGUAAACGAUGCUCGCUAGGUGUCAGGCAUGGCGCGACCGUGUCUGGUGCCGCAGGGAAGCCGUGAAGCGAGCCACCUGGGAAGUACGGCCGCAAGGCUGAAAGUUAAAGGAAUUGGCGGGGGAGCACAACAGCGGGUGGAGCCUGCGGUUUAAUUGGACUCAACGCCGGACAACUCACCGGGGGCGACAGCAAUAUGUAGGCCAAGCUGAAGACUUUGCCUGAAUCGCUGAGAGGAGGUGCAUGGCCGUCGCCAGUUCGUACUGUGAAGCAUCCUGUUAAGUCAGGCAACGAGCGAGACCCGUGCCCACUGUUACCAGCAUAUCCUCCAGGAUGAUGGGUACUCUGUGGGGACCGCCGGUGUUAAAUCGGAGGAAGGUGCGGGCCACGGU